CUGGAGCUGAGUUACUCAUUCCCCGUAUGAAGGAGGAGUUUUCAAGCUCAUACGAGGGAGGCGUGUAAAGGGGUCAAAAGAUUCUUCACCACAGAAGUGAUGCCUUAGAAACUGUAGUCCUGAUCAAUCCCUCAGAUGAAGCAGUUAGUACUGAGCACCUCAAUAUCCUUCCUGAACUGAGGGGCCCAGAACAGGACACAAUACUCAAGGUAUAGCCUCACCAGUGCUGAGUACAGAGGAAGAAUCACACACUGCUCUGCUCUUCUGC
Myiozetetes cayanensis is the source of this 268-nucleotide long non-coding RNA. RefSeq lists it as uncharacterized. The record is from RefSeq and is a predicted model, not a curated record. Lineage: Eukaryota; Metazoa; Chordata; Aves; Passeriformes; Tyrannidae. The transcript is spliced from 3 exons.